GAUGAACGCUGGCGGCGUGCCUAAUACAUGCAAGUCGAGCGAAAAGACGAGGAGCUUGCUCCUCUGACGUUAGCGGCGGACGGGUGAGUAACACGUGGAUAACCUACCUAUAAGACUGGGAUAACUUCGGGAAACCGGAGCUAAUACGGGAUAAUAUAUUGAACCGCAUGGUUCAAUAGUGAAAGACGGUUUUGCUGUCACUUAUAGAUGGAUCCGCGCCGCAUUAGCUAGUUGGUAAGGUAACGGCUUACCAAGGCAACGAUGCGUAGCCGACCUGAGAGGGUGAUCGGCCACACUGGAACUUAGACACGGUCCAGACUCCUACGGGAGGCAGCAGUAGGGAAUCUUCCGCAAUGGGCGAAAGCCUGACGGAGCAACGCCGCGUGAGUGAUGAAGGUCUUCGGAUCGUAAAACUCUGUUAUUAGGGAAGAACAAAUGUGUAAUUAACUAUGCACGUCUUGACGGUACCUAAUCAGAAAGCCACGGCUAACUACGUG
RNAcentral lists this ribosomal RNA (497 nucleotides) under uncultured bacterium. RNAcentral describes it as "partial 16S ribosomal RNA". It matches the Rfam family "Bacterial small subunit ribosomal RNA", at positions 28 to 507 of the family's 1533-position model. The record is from RNAcentral.